UACGUAGGGGCUAGCGUUGUCCGGAAUCAUUGGGCGUAAAGCGCGCGUAGGUGGCCUCAUAAGUCCGCUGUGAAAGUCCAAGGCUCAACCUUGGAAAGCCGGUGGAUACUGUGAGGCUAGAGUACGGAAGAGGCGAGUGGAAUUCCUGGUGUAGCGGUGGAAUGCGCAGAUAUCAGGAGGAACACCAAUAGCGAAGGCAGCUCGCUGGGACGUUACUGACACUGAGGAGCGAAAGCGUGGGGAGCAAACAGGAUUAG
This 257-nucleotide ribosomal RNA is filed under the name uncultured bacterium. Its description in RNAcentral is "partial 16S ribosomal RNA". It matches the Rfam family "Bacterial small subunit ribosomal RNA", at positions 524 to 781 of the family's 1533-position model. The record is from RNAcentral.